Long non-coding RNA from Rosa chinensis, 2468 nucleotides. RefSeq lists it as uncharacterized. Lineage: Eukaryota; Viridiplantae; Streptophyta; Magnoliopsida; Rosales; Rosaceae. The record is from RefSeq and is a predicted model, not a curated record. The transcript has 4 exons.
CAGAGUAUUUGACCAAAGACCAAAUUGCCCUAGGAUCCGACCUUAAUCCGAAAGCAUAGAAGAAGAAACUAUCAAGUACUAUUCCCAAGCUCUCCACUCUUAUCAAUUGCUAUACUGUGAUCUUCUUUUAUCUCUGGGUUUUGAUUGCUUUGAGUUUAGGUGUCUCUUGUAUUAUGAGGAUUUAGUGGUAAAGAUUUCAACUUUUUAUCCAUUCUGAUAAUAUAUAUAUGCAGAGAUAUGAAUCUAUUAGUUUCUUGGAUUUACUUUUGUGGAUUUAAUGGAAUUCUGCAGGCUUGAGCUUUAGGAGACCUUUUCCAUAUAUAGCUACUAUAUAUCAUCUGUAGAUACAACAGAGAAUCUGAUUUGUUUUCACAUGAAUAAAGCUUUACUGCUCGCUAAGGUUUGGUUUGGAGAAUUGGGUAUGGGACAAUAGGCAUGAUUUUCUAUUAAAUAUGUUGCCAUAAAUCGCAAUGCCUCUGUGCCGGACUUCUUUCGAGGAAGGAAUUGGAAUAUGAAUAAACUCAACUGAUUGUUAUUAGUAUUCUGUGUACAUCUAUUGCUUUAGGUUGGGGAAGCUCCUCUUCUGGUAUUUUUUCUUUUUCCUGUCAAAACUUGAAGCUGCUAUUUCCUGAUGCAUGUCUUGCUCACCUUGCGAGAAUGAGGCCUGAUCACUGCCUUAACCCUGAUUCUAGGAAUACGAGAACUAAUACCCCAUUCAUAUUUCAAGGCAUGUGGAUGGAGCAUGGGAAGUUUAAGGAUUUUAUACUCUCAAGAUCCAUUUAACAGAUGAUUAGUAUAAUGCUUCCAAAAAGUGGAGCUACAAGGAACUUGUCAUCAAUACUAAAACAAACUGGUUCUUCCUAUUGUACGAUGCACGUGGAAGAUUUUGAUUACUACUGGUAGCAAAAUGUGAAAAAGAAUGUGUCAAUUUCUCGAUAUUUCUGCAUCAAGCAUCCAGACCAUAGAAGAGCCUGAGGGCUCAUCCAAUUCUUGUGCCUUAGCCCUGUUACCAGCCAAUCCCUCUGUUCAUGCAGGUACUCUGCCAGUAGGUGUUCUGGAUCACUUCUUUACAUGAAGUUUUAGUGGUUUUUACGAAGCAAUAUUAUCACUAGAUGCUAUUAAUAAGUUUGUAUGUGCAGGAAGAUAACUGAACCUUCUAGAUUAGUUUAAAUUUUGUUCGAGGUAUUAUGUAUUUCGCAUUUGCAUAGAUGAAACUCUUAUUGGGUACCCCAGAUGAAAUCAAGCAUGAAAAAAGAGUAUGUGCUAGGGGUUAACAGUAACAGCCCUAUCAUCUUUUUUCUCUAUAAAUAGAAUGCAUAUAAAGAAUCUUUGUGUUUUCAAUCUAUUUUCUUUGACAUAAUCAUAAAGAAAUACUUCCGUUAACAUGAUCUCUUUCUUUAGAUUCAAAAAUGCAAAAACAAGAAGCACCGUUUUAGUGGUUCUACCCCUGAGUUAAGAAGAACAUCUUGCUCUGACAGAUCAUGGGAAGAGACUGACAGAAUCAGUUGCUACUGAACAAUUUUGACAAAGAAUUACUGGGCACGUACUUGGUUCUAUUGAACAAGAUGGAUCCUCAGAAGAAUAGUAAAAUCCGAAAGCUAACAAUCUGGGAGAUCAUACCAUUAAGAAAGAGGUAGCAAAGUCAGAGAGAAAAGAAAUCGGACAGGCCUUGAAAUAUGAUAGGAAUAGGUUGAGUUAUCUGUUACAUAUCGAUCACGAUUAUUGUAAAUGAUCUGAGAUUGCGAAGGAUACAUGAAACGAUUUAGUUCACUGGUACUUGGUGGUGAUUCUUUUCACAUGCUAAGAAGCAUAUUAUUUGAGGUGUCCUGAAGUCGAACAGGAAUGCAGUUCAAAGACAAGACUAAUAGUCAAAGGGAAUGGAGGGGCUGUGGUGUUCUCAUUGUGUGAACCUAGUUUCAGCGACAAAUAAGGUCAGCCAGGACAAUUUUGUCGGGAUCUGAUAACCUUUCUCAAGAAUCCAUCGGAUAGGAGUUGUCCCAACCUAUCUCACCAUGUAGUCAACCUAUAUAUGCUCGAAUUGGUGAACUCCAUAUUCCAAAUUUUCUGGAGCCACUGCAGAUGGUCAAUGAUACUCUUCUAAAUCCCUGUAAGUCGAUCCCUACAUACAAAUGGAUCUUUAGUCUAAGAAAGAAGCAACAGAUUCAGCAGCAGCGGAAGAACAAAAAUAUUAGAACUGUGAGCGCUAUAGAUUUAGCAUUGAAUGAGUAUCAUUCUUCUUAUCUUCUCUGUGUUUGUUUUUUUUUUUUUUUUUUGGGUAACUUCUGUAAUUGAAUGACUUUGCAGGUAGUGCAUAAAACAGUGUGCAUUAAAAGUUUCUACUUUUUAGUUUAUUUGAUAUUCUUUUAUAAAAGUAGGCAGGUAAUUGAUUCAUGUAUGACUUUUACGUUACUGACAAAGCUUAAAAGAAUAGGCUUUACGCAUAUGUAGUUUGUUUUUUGUUGAUGCUA